This 250-nucleotide ribosomal RNA is filed under the name uncultured bacterium. Its description in RNAcentral is "partial 16S ribosomal RNA". It matches the Rfam family "Bacterial small subunit ribosomal RNA", at positions 15 to 253 of the family's 1533-position model. The record is from RNAcentral.
GAUCCUGGCUCAGGAUAGAACGCUAGCUACAGGCUUAACACAUGCAAGUCGAGGGGCAUCAGUUUGGUUUGCUUGCAAACCAAAGCUGGCGACCGGCGCACGGGUGAGUAACACGUAUCCAACCUGCCUCAUACUCGGGGAUAAGCCUUUCGAAAGAAAGAUUAAUAUCCGAUAGCAUAUAUUUCCCGCAUGGGUUUUAUAUUAAAGAAAUUCGGUAUGAGAUGGGGAUGCGUUCCAUUAGUUUGUUGGG